Molecule: ribosomal RNA, 396 nt
Filed under: Babesia sp. 1 JY-2013
Lineage: Eukaryota; Apicomplexa; Aconoidasida; Piroplasmida; Babesiidae
Description: bacterial SSU rRNA
Rfam family: Eukaryotic small subunit ribosomal RNA
Source: RNAcentral
AAUACCCAAUCCUGACACAGGGAGGUAGUGACAAGAAAUAACAAUACGGGGCUUAAUGUCUUGUAAUUGGAAUGAUGGGAAUCUAAACCUCUUCCAGAGUAUCAAUUGGAGGGCAAGUCUGGUGCCAGCAGCCGCGGUAAUUCCAGCUCCAAUAGCGUAUAUUAAAAUUGUUGCAGUUAAAAAGCUCGUAGUUGAACUUCAGCCGUCGUCGUAGCCACCUUAGGGUCGGCGUCGCGUUGGCUUAUCUUUUUACUUUGAGAAAAUUAGAGUGUUUCAAGCAGACUUUUGUCUUGAAUACUUCAGCAUGGAAUAAUAGAGUAGGACUUGGGUUCUAUUUUGUUGGUUUGUGAGCCUGAGUAAUGGUUAAUAGGAACGGUUGGGGGCAUUCGUAUUUAA